Molecule: ribosomal RNA, 399 nt
Filed under: uncultured bacterium
Lineage: Bacteria
Description: bacterial SSU rRNA
Rfam family: Bacterial small subunit ribosomal RNA
Source: RNAcentral
AUAUUGCACAAUGGGGGAAACCCUGAUGCAGCAACGCCGCGUGAAGGAAGACGGUUUUCGGAUUGUAAACUUCUAUCAAUAGGGAAGAAAGAAAUGACGGUACCUAAAUAAGAAGCCCCGGCUAACUACGUGCCAGCAGCCGCGGUAAUACGUAGGGGGCAAGCGUUAUCCGGAAUUAUUGGGCGUAAAGAGGGAGCAGGCGGUCGUAAGGGUCCAUCGGUAAAAGACCGGGGCUAAACUCCGGGAAGGCGAGGAAACCGUACGACUAGAGUACAGCAGAGGAUCGUGGAAUUCCAUGUGUAGCGGUGAAAUGCGUAGAUAUAUGGAGGAACACCAGUGGCGAAGGCGACGAUCUGGGCUGAAACAGACGCUGAGUCCCGAAAGCGUGGGGAGCAAAUA